UCUGGUAGGAAUAGCAAGGAGGCAACACCCGUUCCCAUACCGAACACGGAAGUUAAGCUCCUUAGCGCCGAUGAUACUAGGAUGGAGACGUCCUGGGAAAGUAGGUCCCUGCCAGAA
Molecule: ribosomal RNA, 117 nt
Filed under: Clostridiaceae bacterium
Lineage: Bacteria; Bacillati; Bacillota; Clostridia; Eubacteriales; Clostridiaceae
Source: RNAcentral